GACGAACGCUGGCGGCGUGCUUAACACAUGCAAGUCGAACGGAAAGGCCCCCUUGUGGGGUACUCGAGUGGCGAACGGGUGAGUAACACGUGAGUAACCUACCCUUGACUUUGGGAUAACUUCAGGAAACUGGGGCUAAUACCGGAUAGGAGCUCCUGCUGCAUGGUGGGGGUUGGAAAGUUUCGGCGGUUGGGGAUGGACUCGCGGCUUAUCAGCUUGUUGGUGGGGUAGUGGCUCACCAAGGCUUUGACGGGUAGCCGGCCUGAGAGGGUGACCGGCCACAUUGGGACUGAGAGACGGACCAGACGCCUACGGGAGGCAGCAGUGGGGAAUAUUGCACAAUGGGCGGAAGCCUGAUGCAGCAACGCCGCGUGCGGGAUGACGGCCUUCGGGUUGUAAACCGCUUUCGCCUGUGACGAAGCGUGAGUGACGGUAAUGGGUAAAGAAGCACCGGCUAACUACGUG
RNAcentral lists this ribosomal RNA (465 nucleotides) under uncultured bacterium. RNAcentral describes it as "partial 16S ribosomal RNA". It matches the Rfam family "Bacterial small subunit ribosomal RNA", at positions 28 to 507 of the family's 1533-position model. The record is from RNAcentral.